Molecule: ribosomal RNA, 683 nt
Filed under: uncultured Actinomycetes bacterium
Lineage: Bacteria; Bacillati; Actinomycetota; Actinomycetes
Description: bacterial SSU rRNA
Rfam family: Bacterial small subunit ribosomal RNA
Source: RNAcentral
UGCAGUCGAGCGAUGAAGCACCUUCGGGUGUGAAUUAGCGGCGAACGGGUGAGGAACACGUGAGAAAUCUGCCUUCAACUCUGGGAUAACUCCGUGAAAACGGGGCUAAUACCGGAUAUGAGAUCUACAGGCAUCUGUGGAUCUGGAAAGUUUUUCGGUUGAAGAUGAUCUCGCGGCCUAUCAGCUUGUUGGUGAGGUAAUGGCUCACCAAGGCGACGACGGGUAGCCGGCCUGAGAGGGCGACCGGCCACACUGGGACUGAGACACGGCCCAGACUCCUACGGGAGGCAGCAGUGGGGAAUAUUGGGCAAUGGAGGAAACUCUGACCCAGCGACGCCGCGUGCGGGAUGAAGGCCUUCGGGUUGUAAACCGCUUUCAGCAGGGAAGAAGCGAAAGUGACGGUACCUGCAGAAGAAGCACCGGCUAACUAUGUGCCAGCAGCCGCGGUAAUACAUAGGGUGCAAGCGUUGUCCGGAAUUAUUGGGCGUAAAGAGCUCGUAGGUGGUUCGUCACGUCGGAUGUGAAAAUCAGGGGCUCAACCCCUGACCUGCAUCCGAUACGGUCGAGCUAGAGUUUGGUAGGGGAGACUGGAAUUCCUGGUGUAGCGGUGGAAUGCGCAGAUAUCAGGAGGAACACCGAUGGCGAAAGCAGGUCUCUGGGCCAAUACUGACACUGAGGAGCGA